CGCCCCACUUGUGGGGAGUCGGCGGACGGGUUAGUAACGCGUGGGGAACGUGCCCUUUUCUGCGGAAUAGCCUCUGGAAACGGAGAGUAAUACCGCAUACGCCCUUUUGGGGGAAAGAUUUAUCGGAGAAGAUCGGCCCGCGUUAGAUUAGAUAGUUGGUGGGGUAACGGCCUACCAAGUCUACGAUCUAUAGCUGGUUUUAGUAGGAUGAUCAGUAACACUGGGACUGAGACACGGCCCAGACUCCUACGGGAGGCAGCAGUGGGGAAUCUUGGACAAUGGGCGCAAGCCUGAUCCAGCAAUACCUCGUGUGUGAAGAAGGCCCUAGGGUUGUAAAGCACUUUCAAUUGGGACGAAGGUUGUGUAUUUAAUACGUGCAUAACUUGACGGUACCUUUAGAAGAAGCACCGGCUAACUCCGUGCCAGCAGCCGCGGUAAUACGGCAGGGUGCAAGCGUUAAUCGGAAUUACUGGGCGUAAAGCGCGCGUAGGUGGUUGUUUAAGUCAGAGUGAAACCCUGGGCUUAACCUGGGAACUGCAUUUGAUACUGGGCGACUAG
This 558-nucleotide ribosomal RNA is filed under the name uncultured bacterium. RNAcentral's name for it is "bacterial SSU rRNA". It matches the Rfam family "Bacterial small subunit ribosomal RNA", at positions 68 to 644 of the family's 1533-position model. The record is from RNAcentral.